GGUGAACGCUGGCGGCGUGUCUAAGGCAUGCAAGUCGAGUGCAGGUUAAGCUGCACGGCAAACGGGUGCGUAACACAUUGGUAAUCUACCUUCAAGACGGGGAUAAUCCCGCGAAAGCGGGAAUAAUACCCGAUAAUAUGUUGUCACAUAAGUGACAUCAUUAAAGUUCCGGCGCUUGAAGAGGAGCCUAUGGCCCAUCAGCUUGUUGGCGAGGUAAAAGCUCACCAAGGCUACGACGGGUAGGGGGUGUGAGAGCAUGGCCCCCCUCACUGGGACUGAGACACUGCCCAGACUCCUACGGGAGGCUGCAGUCAAGAAUAUUCCGCAAUGGGCGAAAGCCUGACGGAGCGACGCCGCGUGCCGGAAGAAGCCCUUCGGGGUGUAAACGGCUUUUAGUAGGGAAGAAUCCGUGACGGUACCUACUGAAUAAGGGGCUGCUAACCUCGUGCCAGCAGCAGCGGUAAUACGAGGGCCCCAAGCGUUAUCCGAAUUUACUGGGCGUAAAGAGUGCGUAGGCGGCUAGAUAAGUCUUUGGUCAAAUCAUGGGGCUCAACUCCAUGGCUGCCGAGGAUACUGUUUGGCUUGAGACUGGAAGAGGCAAGUGGAAUUGCUGGUGGAGGGGUUAAAUCCGUUGAUAUCAGCAAGAACACCAAAGGCGAAGGCAACUUGCUAGUACAGUUCUGACGCUGUUGCACGAAAGCGUGGGUAGCGAAUGGGAUUAGAUACCCCAGUAGUCCACGCCGUAAACGAUGGAUACUAGACAUUGGCAGUAUCGACCCUGUCAGUGUCGUUUAACCAAGCUAACGCGUUAAGUAUCCCGCCUGGGGAGUACGGUCGCAAGACUA
Molecule: ribosomal RNA, 845 nt
Filed under: uncultured bacterium
Lineage: Bacteria
Description: bacterial SSU rRNA
Rfam family: Bacterial small subunit ribosomal RNA
Source: RNAcentral